RNAcentral lists this ribosomal RNA (449 nucleotides) under uncultured bacterium. RNAcentral's name for it is "bacterial SSU rRNA". It matches the Rfam family "Bacterial small subunit ribosomal RNA", at positions 340 to 784 of the family's 1533-position model. The record is from RNAcentral.
UACGGAAGGCAGCAGUGGGGAAUAUUGCACAAUGGGCGCAAGCCUGAUGCAGCCAUGCCGCGUGUAUGAAAAGGCCUUCGGGUUGUAAAGUACUUUCAGUCGUGAGGAAGGUGUUAAGGUUAAUAACCUUAGCAAUUGACGUUAGCGACAGAAGAAGCACCGGCUAACUCCGUGCCAGCAGCCGCGGUAAUACGGAGGGUGCGAGCGUUAAUCGGAAUUACUGGGCGUAAAGGGCACGCAGGCGGUUAAUUAAGUUGGAUGUGAAAUCCCCGGGCUUAACCUGGGAAUGGCAUUCAAGACUGGUUAGCUAGAGUCUUGUAGAGGGGGUAGGAAUUCCAUGUGUAGCGGUGAAAUGCGUAGAGAUGUGGAGGAAUACCGGUGGCGAAGGCGGCCCCUGGCAAAGACUGAUGCUCAUGUGCGAAAGCGUGGGGAGCAAACAGGAUUAGAUA